Parus major (Great Tit) is the source of this 2640-nucleotide long non-coding RNA. RefSeq lists it as uncharacterized. The transcript has 3 exons. The record is from RefSeq and is a predicted model, not a curated record. NCBI's taxonomy places the organism in Eukaryota, Metazoa, Chordata, Aves, Passeriformes, Paridae.
UUGGAAGUUGCCAAACUUUACUUACUGCCUCGCAGGGCUUUGGGAUUUGAGGAGAAAACUCGAGGGACCUCCAGUUUGAGAAAUCCCAGGGAGUUCAGGGGAUUAACACGUGGCCUUCCAGGCGGGGAUGUUGGAGGCAAAAUCCUUGGGAAAUGCCAGAGCUCUGCUAACAGGCCUUGCUUUAGGUGCUGCUCAGCAUUCCAUGGGCAGAUUCCUGAGGCCUGGAUGAGCCAUCCCCCCUUGGAGCAGCAGCUGUGGGAUGUGAAAUCUCCAGGGGUGCAGCCAGGGCCCCUCAGGAGAGCCUGGAGACGGUGCCAGAGGCUUCUCUGGAGCUCUGGAUGCCGCUGCCACCUUCUCACAAGGAGCCCUGGAAGAGCCCAGCAGGAGAGAAGGGAAGAGAAGGAUAAUCCACAGAAUAUUCCCUGAAUCCUCCUUGCAGUUGCUGCUGGUUGGAUGUUGUGUUCCCUGGGAUCCCUGAGGAUGGGCUGCUCCAGCCUCAGCGAUGGAGGGCAGGAGAUCUCCUGUGGUUGUCCCAGAAACGGGAAAAUGUUCAUCCUGGGAAGAGGAGGAGAGUGCUGGCAGCUUUUCUGGAUUUUAUGGCACAGCAGCAGGUCCUGCUUGGUCCCAAAAGGAGACAGAUCCCGGUUGUCCGGGUUGGAAAAGACCUUUAAGACCGUCAAACCCAACCAUUAAAGAGAUGUAGAUGUGCAAAUGCUCCUGGGUGGGGUUCAAUGGUGAGGGUGUGGAAUUCCCAAGGUUUGCAGUGGGAUGGGAUUGGAUCUCUGGAUCUGUGUGCCCUGGCAGAGCUUCUCCCAGAAAACCAAAGGUGAUCUACAGGAUGCUGGACCUGCAUCAGCUGAGCCAGAGUGUUUAUUCCCCAAAAUCAUCUCUGGUUUCUCCUCUGCUUCAGUGGAGAUCCCUGGGGAGGUGGAAACUCUCCUGAGGGUCCUUUUCCUCUAAAGUCACUCUCCAAGGUUAUUCCCCUGCUCCUGGAGACACUCCUACGUUCUCUGGCCAUCUCCCUGCCCCAAUGCUGGCCCCCUCACCCCCCAAAUUUCUCCUCCAAAGAGGCUCCAAACCUUUCCUAGAUUUCAUUUAUUGAGGCCAGAGGCUCCUUUUCCACAUAUCCGCACAGAUUUUCUCCUUCUAUCCCAUCCAGCUCUGCCCUCCAGGCUCCCAAACUUCCCACAAAAAGAGUGUGGGAUUCUCCAGGAGGUGAAGCAGCACAGGAUGGAAUCUCCAGCUCCUGCUGGCACUUCCCAGCUCCCUGAAGGAUCUCCCAAAGGUGCCCAACAGUUCCAAGCUUGUGGAUUGUUCUCUUCCCUGCCUCCAAUCCGUGCAAACCUGGCCACACUUCAACCUUCUGUGCACACCUAAACUCCGUGGCUUUAUUUUCACUGCAGCCUCUUUGUUCUUGGAUGCUCUGGGAAGGGAAUUUGUGCCUAAUCCUUUGAUAUGUGACUCCAUGCUUUGCAUAUCAUCCUCGUGUCCCCUGUCCCCAACAUCUUCCCUUUUGUGACGAGCUGAGCUCGUGUCUGAACUCUCUUCCCUGAUCCUAGAAGUUUUUUUCCUCCCAUCCUGGGAGAUUACAACUAAUUCAGUGCCCAGCCAUGCAUGCCAAAAUUUAAAUAAUAAAUCAUCUCUCCCUGCCAGCAAGCACCCCUGGACACGAAGGCAAAGCCCCACUCCUUCCCGGGAAAAUGGGGCUCUGCCUCAGCCUGAAAAUUCUGGGAAUUGUGGAUUGGGGGUGCUUCCCACCUGCCUGCACAUCCCCCUUCCCCACCCUCCCUGCCUGCCUUGGCUCUGCUCUGAAGGAAAUGAUUGUGUUGGGAUCCUCCAAAUGCCAGGGAAGGGAGCAGGGGAGCCCAGAGGAGCUGAUGUGGGGCGAGGAUUGAAGGGAAGACACGGCAGAAAAUGAGAGCAGGGAACAAAACCUGGGGUGCAGGAGGAUGAGAGUUGGUGUGUGACCCACGUGCCAGUGUGCUAAAUUCCCCUCUCCACCACCGUAAAGGGGCUUUAUCCUUUAACCAACACCGUGGUGAGAGGUUUAUUCAAGUAGAAAAUUUUUAAUUGCAUUCUCUUGUAGUCAAAUAUUAAUGGAAGGACCUUGUACAAAUAAAAGUGAAUAAUGCAACAGCUUAGCUGACAACAUUGUUUCACAUUCAUUGCAGAUUGUGAACCUUCAUUAAAAUGGAUUAUUUUUGCUUUGGAGAUUUAACCAGCAACAUGACUUUCCCCUCUCGCUGGCCCUGUUCUGCCUGAGCCCGCAGAGAGCUCGGGCCAAGGAGGAGCUUGCAAAAUUAAUUCUGAAAGAAGAGGCUGAAACUUCCAGGAUGUGAAUUCUCCUCAUUCCCUCGGCUCAGAGGAGAGCUCAGCACAGAAAUCAUCAGGCAAGGGCUUGGAGCAGACCCCUGCUAUGGAGGAGGGCUCAGGGGAGCUGGGAAAGGCAGGGAAGGAUCUCAGCAGUGACCUCUUGGAAAGUGAUCUGAGGGGAUCCCAAGCCCAAGGGGGUCAGAGGGGGCUUUAGGACAACAACCCCACCCGUUGGGAGGGUCAGCUGCUCCUCUGAGGCAACCAGGACAGCAGGAGGGGUCUGAGGGCAGCUCAGCCCACAGCAAUCCUGAUCAGAGAAUCCCAGAA